RNAcentral lists this ribosomal RNA (410 nucleotides) under uncultured microorganism. RNAcentral's name for it is "bacterial SSU rRNA". It matches the Rfam family "Bacterial small subunit ribosomal RNA", at positions 509 to 917 of the family's 1533-position model. The record is from RNAcentral.
CAGCCGCCGCGGUAAUACGUAGGGUGCGAGCGUUAAUCGGAUUUACUGGGCGUAAAGCGUGCGCAGGCGGCCCGUUAAGACAGGUGUGAAAUCCCUGGGCUCAACCUAGGAAUUGCGCUUGUGACUGGCGGGCUCGAGUACGGUAGAGGGGGGUGGAAUUCCUGGGGUAGCAGUGAAAUGCGUAGAGAUCAGGAGGAACACCGAUGGCGAGGGCAGCCCCCUGGGCCUGUACUGACGCUCAUGCACGAAAGCGUGGGCAGCAAACAGGAUUAGAUACCCUGGUAGUCCACGCCCUAAACGAUGGGUACUAGCCGUUUGGUGCGCGAUAGCGCUGAGUGGCGAAGCUAACGCGAGAAGUACCCCGCCUGGGGAGUACGGCCGCAAGGUUGAAACUUAAAGGAAUUGGCGGG